AGAGUUUGAUCCUGGCUCAGAUUGAACGCUGGCGGAAUGCUUUACACAUGCAAGUCGAGCGGCAGCGCGGGGGCAACCCUGGCGGCGAGCGGCGAACGGGUGAGUAACAUAUCGGAACGUACCCCGUCGUGGGGGGAUAACACAGCGAAAGCUGUGCUAAUACCGCAUACGACCUGAGGGUGAAAGCGGGGGAUCGCAAGACCUCGCGCGAUGGGAGCGGCCGAUAUCGGAUUAGCUUGUUGGUGAGGUAAAGGCUCACCAAGGCGACGAUCCGUAGCUGGUCUGAGAGGACGACCAGCCACACUGGAACUGAGACACGGUCCAGACUCCUACGGGAGGCAGCAGGUGGGGAAUUUUGGACAAUGGGGCAACCCUGAUCCAGCCAUUCCGCGUGAGUGAAGAAGGCCUUCGGGUUGUAAAGCUCUUUCAGCAGGAACGAAACGGUGGCUACUAAUACUAGCUACUAAUGACGGUACCUGAAGAAGAAGCACCGGCUAACUACGUG
Molecule: ribosomal RNA, 505 nt
Filed under: uncultured bacterium
Lineage: Bacteria
Description: bacterial SSU rRNA
Rfam family: Bacterial small subunit ribosomal RNA
Source: RNAcentral